GAUGAAGAACGUAGCGAAAUGCGAUAAGUAAUGUGAAUUGCAGAAUUCCGUGAAUCAUCGAAUCUUUGAACGCACAUUGCGCCCCCUGGCAUUCCGGGGGGCAUGCCUGUCCGAGCGUCAUUUCUGCCCUCAAGCACGGCUUGUGUGUUGGGUGUGGUCCCCCCGGGGACCUGCCCGAAAGGCAGCGGCGACGUCCGUCUGGUCCUCGAGCGUAUGGGGCUCUGUCACUCGCUCGGGAAGGACCUGCGGGGGUUGGUCACCACUAUACUUUACCACGGUUGACCUCGGAUCAGGUAGGAGUUACCCGCUGAACUUAAGCAUAUCAAUAAGCGGAGGA
RNAcentral lists this unclassified non-coding RNA (337 nucleotides) under soil metagenome. RNAcentral's name for it is "partial contains 5.8S ribosomal RNA, internal transcribed spacer 2, and large subunit ribosomal RNA". The stretch from base 1 to 120 matches the Rfam family "5.8S ribosomal RNA", at positions 35 to 154 of the family's 154-position model. The record is from RNAcentral.